GCUGUGCAAUCCAGCUUAUUUUGACAAAAAUAAUCUUACUUUUUUUUUAUUUUUUUGAUUUUUUG
RNAcentral lists this transfer RNA (65 nucleotides) under Calopteryx japonica. RNAcentral's name for it is "tRNA-Leu". The record is from RNAcentral. Lineage: Eukaryota; Metazoa; Arthropoda; Insecta; Odonata; Calopterygidae.